GGAGCAGUUUCUUUGCUGCAAGAGUGUUGAGGCGUUGGAACAGGCUGCCCAGGGAGGAGGUGGAGUCCCCAUCCCUGGAGGUGUCCAUGCAACGUGUGGGCAUGGCACCUGGGGCUGUGGUGGUGGUGGAUUGAUGGUUGGACUCACACCAAACAAUUCUGUGAUUCUAUAGGAAGUGAUGAGCAGAGAAAACGACUCCAUGGACGAGCUGCAGAACAUCUGGAGUGGCAGUAGUGAAGGCAGAACCCCCAGGGGCCACCACUAAAUGAACCUUUUAGUGCUCCUGAUGAAGCAAACCAAACCUGCUGUCUGGGCCCAAGGAAGUGCAGCUGCCUGGGGGCCUCAUGGGAUGUGUGGUCCAGUGCCAGCUACCUGCUGCUUGCGGUCUCCAGAGAUGCUUGUGGAAGGUCUCUGCUGCACUUUUGCCUGGAUGAGCACAACUUCUCCUGCAGCACAGGGGCUCAGAAGCUGGACAGGCAGGAAGAUUUGUCCCUGGCAGUUCAUCCCCACAGCUCCUCUGCCUGGGCAGUGCCAAGGGGCAUCAGGAGAAACCCUCAGGCUUGGUCAGCCACAGCAAGCUGCUGCUGCUUGUCGCCUUUCCACAGCCAGUAAGCCAUCAAAGCAUCAGUUGUUGCCUCCCACAGCUGGAAGAGGGACAGAGCAGAGCUGGGCUCAAGCAAGGGGUAGGUGACCACAGCAUGGGAGCUGGUGGGGGUGGGCCAGCACACAGGGUCCAGAGGUGCCAGGGAGCCCCAAAGACCCCAUCCUGAGCUGCUCUUAGCAUAGGACUGCCUUGGGAUUGGGUCUAAGGUGCAGGCUGGGGUGAGGGGUGGU
This is a long non-coding RNA of Pogoniulus pusillus (Red-fronted tinkerbird), 834 nucleotides long. RefSeq lists it as uncharacterized. The record is from RefSeq and is a predicted model, not a curated record. NCBI's taxonomy places the organism in Eukaryota, Metazoa, Chordata, Aves, Piciformes, Lybiidae. The transcript is spliced from 3 exons.